AAUUAUUCAUUUUCUCCUUCUAUACUUCAUCCCCUUAAGGGAAGCUUAGGCUUCUCAUCCUUUUACUAAUUGGUUUUCCAGUUGUCUGCCACCACCUCUUCUUUAAUUUAGUAACAAUUUUGCAAGUCAAAAUCUCCUACGGAACACCAUAAUACAAGUUUGUGGCCAAGUCUUCAUCACCAUCUUCUUCUUAUUCUUUAAUUAUUCUUAUUCUUAUUAUUCAAGGUGUAUCUACAUAAGCCAUCAUCAUCUAAUUCUUUCUUCUUCUUCUUCUUCUUCUUCUUUUAACUAACCUCCCCAUUACCCUCACUUCCUUUUCUUUCAUCCUCCAAUGGCACAGAGAUGUUACUGAUGACCCCAUCAUCUGUUGGUCAUUCGAUCAUACUCAAUUCUCUGAUAGGUCUCUUUCUCCUUCUCCUUCUAAGCAAACUCAUUAUGAUUGUUCAUCUCCUCUCUUCUCUCAAUCUCAUCACUUUCUUUCCCUUAUUUUCAACACUCCAAAUUUAAUUACUCAUAUCUCAAUCCCAAGGUAUGUGAAGAAGAUCUUGCUUUUGACAUUGACACGGUUUUGAUGAAGACACCAACAUCACCAAAAAGAAG
Molecule: long non-coding RNA, 600 nt
Filed under: Lupinus angustifolius (narrow-leaved blue lupine)
Lineage: Eukaryota; Viridiplantae; Streptophyta; Magnoliopsida; Fabales; Fabaceae
Description: long non-coding RNA (LANG_LNC002759)
Source: RNAcentral